RNAcentral lists this ribosomal RNA (772 nucleotides) under uncultured marine bacterium. RNAcentral describes it as "bacterial SSU rRNA". It matches the Rfam family "Bacterial small subunit ribosomal RNA", at positions 14 to 794 of the family's 1533-position model. The record is from RNAcentral.
UGAUCCUGGUUCAGGACGAACGCUGGCGGUGCGCCUUAUGCAUGCAAGUUGAGCGAAGCUUUUCAGUAGUUUACUACAGAAAAUGACUGAGCGGCGAACGGGUGAGUAACGCGUGAGCAAUCUACCUUAGUUACUGGGAUAGCCCGAGGAAACUCGGAUUAAUACCGGAUAUUCUUAUUUUUUCACAUGAAGUUUUAAGGAAAGGUCAGCCGAACUAAGAUGAGCUCGCGUUCUAUCAGCUAGUUGGUGGGGUAAAAGCCUACCAAGGCAACGACGGAUAGCUGGUCUGAGAGGACGAUCAGCCACACUGGGACUGAGACACGGCCCAGACUCCUACGGGAGGCUGCAGCAGGGAAUAUUGUGCAAUGAGCGAAAGCUUGACACAGCGACACCGCGUGUGGGAUGACGGUUCUAGGAUUGUAAACCACUUUCAGGAGGGAAGAAAAUGACGGUACCUCCACAAGAAGACCCGGCCAACUAUGUGCCAGCAGCCGCGGUAAUACAUAGGGGUCAAGCGUUGUCCGGAUUUAUUGGGCGUAAAGAGCUCGUAGGCGGUUCAACAAGUCGGUCGUAAAAGUUUAGGGCUCAACCCUAAAAUGUCGAUCGAUACUGUUGUGACUAGGAUACGGUAGAGGUGAAUGGAAUUCCGAGUGUAGCGGUGAAAUGCGUAGAUAUUCGGAGGAACACCAAUUGCGAAGGCAGUUCACUGGACCGUGAUCGACGCUGAGGAGCGAAAGCUAGGGGAGCAAACAGGAUUAGAUACCCUGGUAGU